Molecule: non-coding RNA, 300 nt
Organism: Odocoileus virginianus texanus
Lineage: Eukaryota; Metazoa; Chordata; Mammalia; Artiodactyla; Cervidae
Source: RefSeq, a predicted model, not a curated record
CCUAACGUCAUUUCCUGCGGGACGGCGAAUUUAAGGAUCAGGAUUUCCGCUUCCGCCCCUUUCCGGCGGUGACGACCUCCUCACGAGAACAUGCCUCUCGCAAAGGAUCUUCUUCAUCCCUCUCCAGAAGAGGAGAAGAGGAAACACAAGAAGAAGCGCCUGGUGCAGAGCCCCAAUUCCUAUUUCAUGGAUGUAAAAUGCCCAGGAUGCUAUAAAAUCACCACCGUCUUUAGCCAUGCACAAACAGUAGUUUUGUGUGUUGGCUGCUCUACUGUCCUCUGCCAGCCUACAGGAGGAAAA